This 315-nucleotide ribosomal RNA is filed under the name uncultured eukaryote. Its description in RNAcentral is "partial 18S ribosomal RNA". It matches the Rfam family "Eukaryotic small subunit ribosomal RNA", at positions 1470 to 1796 of the family's 1831-position model. The record is from RNAcentral.
CCCUUAGAUGUUCUGGGCUGCACGCGCGCUACACUGAAGCGUUCAACGAGUAUUCACCUUGCCCGGGAGGGUUGGGUAAUCUUUUGAAAACGCUUCGUGAUGGGGAUAGAUUAUUGCAAUUAUUAAUCUUCAACGAGGAAUUCCUAGUAAGCGCAAGUCAUCAACUUGCAUUGAUUACGUCCCUGCCCUUUGUACACACCGCCCGUCGCACCUACCGAUUGAAUGGUCCGGUGAAGCCUCCGGAUUGGCGCGCACCUCGGUGCCGCCGAGAAGUUGGCUAAACCUUACCAUUUAGAGGAAGGUGAAGUCGUAACA